RNAcentral lists this small nuclear RNA (289 nucleotides) under Ophiophagus hannah (king cobra). RNAcentral's name for it is "7SK RNA". It matches the Rfam family "7SK RNA". Rfam says of the family: 7SK was discovered as an abundant small nuclear RNA in the mid-70s but a possible function has only recently been suggested. Two independent studies have found that 7SK RNA binds the CDK9/cyclin T complex (known as elongation factor P-TEFb). P-TEFb activates transcription by phosphorylating the C-terminal domain of RNA polymerase II. The record is from Rfam by way of RNAcentral. Lineage: Eukaryota; Metazoa; Chordata; Lepidosauria; Squamata; Elapidae.
GAUCUGCCCACCUUGGUCCCAAUCUUCACCACCUGAUUGAUUACCAGGAUUGAUUCAGCUCAUCUGGCUGGCUAGACAAUGUCCCCUUCUACCCUCACCACUUCAUGUGCAUCUUCUUGAAGCUGCACACUCAGAGGAGGAGUACAACCAACUCAGACAGAAGAAGCGUAUAGAUCUUCAGUCAAGGUUAUAUGAUAAUCACAUUCCCCUGUGUGACCCUUCAAACAGGCUUCAUCUUCCUUUGCCACUCAACUCUAUUAAUUGUUCUUCUAUGAGAAAGCCUUUCUAU